CGAAAGAAUAGUUCGCUU
Molecule: small nuclear RNA, 18 nt
Filed under: Arabidopsis thaliana (thale cress)
Lineage: Eukaryota; Viridiplantae; Streptophyta; Magnoliopsida; Brassicales; Brassicaceae
Description: snRNA_06658
Source: RNAcentral